UCUUUCCAAGAUGGUGACCCCGUAUGACAAGUUUGAAGUCUUGUAUCAUUGCUGCUAUUGAGGAGCUGAAACGUUAAGCUGAUGCAAUAUGUUCGUUAUAUAGAAUAUGGCAUUUUUAGCCAUAUUAAUUUGUAGGGUUUAGUUCUCCUUUAACGUUAGUAGAGUGGAUGAAAGAUGUUUCGUACAACCAAAGCUUGUGGGCAAGAUCAUAAUUGUAGCAUGUAUGGCCACCUUUACAGUCUGUUUCACCCCUGCAACAAUCCUCAGCAUCAGUCUUACAGCAUGUGCCUUAUAGUCUAUAGUGGGAAGUGAGGUAAUUGGCAUCUUGCAGGUCCUAUUACAUUGACAUAGGGUUAGCUAACAGCUGCCUAGCCUGUUCUAGAGACUUCUGGCACUUGUAUGUCCCCCCAUGUAUUCAGUUUUCCAAAAUAACGUCUUUUCCCCUAAUAACCAUAUCUAAAAACUGACAGUGUUCCUCCUUACCCUAAUAAGAUAAAAUAAGAAAAUAUCAUGUCAAUUGUUCAUGUUGGCAUUGGUUUGCAAAGAACUGAAAUGUUCAGAAGCUUUCACUGGGUACAGUAUAGGCACCUAUUAUCAUUGCUUCUGUCUGUCUGUCUGUCUGGGAAGACCCUGCAGCCAGUUAGAAAUAUAGAACCUCUGCAGGGAUAAUGGAAACAUAUUCAGAAUCCUGGGUAUAAAAGUCAUUUCAUACAUCCAACUUAUUUUCACUUUAGUUCUGCACUCCUAGGCACGUUUCACCUGGUUACACUGUAUGUACCUACUGGCACUUAUUAUGGCUCUGGGAGUUUGAAUACAAGAAAGAAUAAAGAUGCUGCUAUAAGAAUAACACUAGUCUGUUACCUGAUAUUUGUUACUGAUUUGUUUAAAAUCUAAUAAUAUUAUUAGACAACGGCUGCUUAAUAUUUAUUGUAUUUCACUAGAUUGCUUGUGUAAAAUAAUAUUCACUGCAGGGCCUGUAAAUAUAUGAAUGCUCACAAUAUCCCACUGCUCUCUGCCCUUGGGCUGAUUAUUGGGUAUUGAUAUUGGUGGGAAGGCCUAGCGUUUAAUUCUUGCUGUUCCCUAUCAGUUUAGCAUAAAUCAAUGAGUUUGGCAUGAUGUAAAGAAUGGAUGAAAGCAAAGACAAGCAUAGUUAAUACUCUGGUCUGUAAUACAGCAACAACAAGGCACUCUCUGAUACAGGUGUGUGUGCAGCACAGCAGAAGCAGUUAUUGCAACAAGGAAAGUGCAGGUGUGGGAAUGGGUGCAAGGCUGCAGCUAUGGCAGACACAUCCCAUGUCAGAUGUAUGGGGCUCCCAUGGGUCACAUUUGCUGCAUGUUCACCGCUUGGGGAGUGAAGGCACAAGGACAGAAACACAGUAUUGCUUAUAAAGGCAAGCCAUGGGGCCCAUGCCUUAAUGUUCCUCUCUAUCCAACUGCAUACAAAUAACCUAGAGGCCAAUGAAAGUGAAUUCUAAAAAUUAAGUGCUUUAAAUGUGUCUAGUACAAGGGAAAGGUUUAGCUGCUUCAGUUCUAUGACAGACCUGAUUCACUAUUUGUGAGCAUUAUGCUGCAUUUGGUAUGGGGCUGUCCAUGCUGAUGCCUCAGAGGCGGUGCAUAGAUAUUGAGACAAUACAGGUGCUUUAUUGCCAACAGCUCCACCUGUCUAGAAAGGGAAGCUCUAAAACCUAGUUUUAGAACUAUUAGUCAUCACACAUUCUUAUAAUCUUCAUUUAUUGCUAAUAGUUCUGCAAAGCUAAUUCUCCAUUUAAUAAGAUAUAAAAUAAAAACCAGCAUAACAUCUAUAAUAAAGACUCUGAAACUGAUUUGGAUGGUAAAGAAAAUCAGCCAUAGUUUACAAUAAUGCAAUAAAUGGCAUACCAUUUAUAUUUUUAACCAUUAGAAGAUCUAUUUUAGAAUGGAGAUGAGAAGGCAUUUUACAAAGAUCCCACAUAAACCAAAUUUACAGUAUCCUAAAACAAAUCUUUGGCUUAGAACAUCUGCUCUAUUGUCAUGUGACCCAUCAUCAUUUUUGGUUACACCAGGGGCAGAUUAAUGCACAGGUUAUGCUAGCCCAGGGGCCCAUUGUGAUCAGAGGCCCAUCAAUUUUCUUUUAAUAUUUCUUUUAAUAUUUAUUAUUACCCACCGUAGAGAGCUUGGGUGCACUCAUGCCUGAAUCUGCAUGCAUCCAGACCCAGCAGUAGCCUAGAGGGUGGCCUGUGUGGAUUUAGCCUAGGUCAUUAAUUUGCCACUGGAUUACACCCUUAAUUUUGGUGAAUUCACUGUACAUAGCAUUUAGAUGUUAUAAAGCAGUAACAACAGAACAAAUGCAAUUUUAACUGACACCAUUAUUUACAUCCAUUGUUGCCUUUGCACUGUAUAUGCUCACACAAUCUAAAGAAUAAAUGAAUGCGCAUCUCAAUGCAAUUCAGUGCAGAGAAACAUCCUUGUGUUUAUUAUGUCAUCUACAAAGUUUAUGGGGCAAGUCCCUGUAACAGGUGUACCUACUGUACAGCUUCUUUUGGAGGAGAGUUUAUAAAUCUAUCCCCAAUAUAGGUAUUCAGCAGGGCAGCGACACCCCUAUUUAUGAAAUAAAACAAGCUGAAUAAAAUGCAUGGCAGUACCAACAGCAACUUCACAUGCAAAGCUGUUCUUUUGUACUUCUGUACUAUAAAUAAGGGUAGCUGUAUUGCAUAAAGAAGUAUGUUGAUGCUUUGCUAAUAGUGGAACCUGGCUUCCUGACAUGGGAACCUUAUUCUGGAUUUAGGUUGGAUUUAUUUCAAAGAUUGCAGUAGAAAUAGUGUUACUUAUUGCUGAAAAAAAGAGGGACUUACAGAAACAGUGGCAUAACAAGAGCACUACCCCCCGUAUCCCGUCAUAAAAAAAAUCUUCGGAGGGGCCUGCCUCACAUAGCGCUCAUGCCUGCAACCCCCACCCUCACCAGAAGAAGCCGACCCUGUGUUCAAGUCCCCCCAUCACAUGGUCUGCUUUGUGUGUGUUUUGCAACUUUCGCAUCCUAAACUCUGGAAAGAAGGUACAUAUCUCCCAGAAUGCUUCAUGAGACUCAGAAUGUCAAGAGAAUUACAGAUGCUUAGAACAAUCUGCAGUGCUAAUUAAGUGCAGCUGAGGGAAGUGAUGUCACGCCCUGAGGGAAAAGAGCUCUCUGGCAAGGAACCAGGAAGUGUGUGAGGUAAUGGCCUCUGAGGAAAAAGAGUUUUGGAUAUACUCCUGUGCCAAGUCUGUUGGAGAAUAACGUAUGGACUGAACCCCUGAGUGAGGCUAAAACUUGGCUGCAAAGGGCAAGACGUCUGUGCCAGUGGGUCAGUUGAGAUGGCUGUUCGAAUUAUUGAAUACUAACUGUUAAGGGGCUGCAGGAAAAUAUUAGUGAAAACCAAGUGUUGGCUUCCAGUUGUAAAAUAUAGAUCCAGAUCUUUCAGUCCAGUGAGGAAUCUGGUAGACUCACAUUGACGAUCUUAAACACAGGUCAUUUUUUCAUUUCUCAGGAGCAUACGAUGCUGGAUCCUUGUGUCCACAUAGUGGUUUUUAACCUCCAAUGCAUCGGUACCUGCCUCUUCAGAUGAACCCUGUGCAAGUGUGUCCAUUCAUGCUGGAGAACACUAGAAUUACUCUCACUCUGGACCUGCUAGUUAUUUCAGGUGUCCCACAGUGCGUUGUGAUAAUAAAAGCUACAGACUUGUAUGAAUUGAAUACUAAUGCCAUAUUGACAUGAGCCAGAAGUGACCCAGUCACCAAUGUGAAAAUGCUAGCUACAACUUGCUCUGGGGUAAUGAAGACGUAUAAAUGCAACAGUGCUUGUUUUGGCACAUCCAGAACAAUUGGGGUGUCUGCAGCUUUCUGGCAAAAAUGUUGGCAUUGUGGAAGGGAAAAUUUGAAUCCCAAAAUUGUAUUUUGUAUACUGCACCUCAUAAGCAAAUGCACCUUUAGGUAUUUUCAGAUUGUUCACCAGAAAUAGACUUUUCCAGUUAUUUUCUAUUUGUGACGGUUUUUCUAAUAUUGAAGUGUAAAGUUGAACUUUUUUACUAAAGCA
Xenopus laevis (African clawed frog) is the source of this 4045-nucleotide long non-coding RNA. RefSeq lists it as uncharacterized. The record is from RefSeq and is a predicted model, not a curated record. Lineage: Eukaryota; Metazoa; Chordata; Amphibia; Anura; Pipidae. The transcript has 4 exons.